This 253-nucleotide ribosomal RNA is filed under the name uncultured bacterium. RNAcentral's name for it is "partial 16S ribosomal RNA". It matches the Rfam family "Bacterial small subunit ribosomal RNA", at positions 524 to 776 of the family's 1533-position model. The record is from RNAcentral.
UACGGAGGGUGCAACCGUUGCUCGGAAUCAUUGGGCGUAAAGCGCACGUAGGCGGCCUGUUAAGUCGGAUGUGAAAUCCCUCGGCUCAACCGAGGAAGUGCAUUCGAAACUGGCGGGCUUGAAUAUGGAAGAGGGUCGCGGAAUUCCCGGUGUAGAGGUGAAAUUCGUAGAUAUCGGGAGGAACACCAGUGGCGAAGGCGGCGACCUGGGCCAAUAUUGACGCUGAGGUGCGAAAGCGUGGGGAGCAAACAGG